Molecule: ribosomal RNA, 606 nt
Filed under: Salmonella enterica
Lineage: Bacteria; Pseudomonadati; Pseudomonadota; Gammaproteobacteria; Enterobacterales; Enterobacteriaceae
Also listed under: 1 other name
Description: partial 23S ribosomal RNA
Rfam family: Bacterial large subunit ribosomal RNA
Source: RNAcentral
GGUUAAGCGACUAAGCGUACACGGUGGAUGCCCUGGCAGUCAGAGGCGAUGAAGGACGUGCUAAUCUGCGAUAAGCGCCGGUAAGGUGAUAUGAACCGUUAUAACCGGCGAUUUCCGAAUGGGGAAACCCAGUGUGACUCGUCACACUAUCAUUAACUGAAUCCAUAGGUUAAUGAGGCGAACCGGGGGAACUGAAACAUCUAAGUACCCCGAGGAAAAGAAAUCAACCGAGAUUCCCCCAGUAGCGGCGAGCGAACGGGGAGGAGCCCAGAGCCUGAAUCAGCAUGUGUGUUAGUGGAAGCGUCUGGAAAGGCGCGCGAUACAGGGUGACAGCCCCGUACACAAAAGCGCAUGUGCUGUGAGCUCGAUGAGUAGGGCGGGACACGUGGUAUCCUGUCUGAAUAUGGGGGGACCAUCCUCCAAGGCUAAAUACUCCUGACUGACCGAUAGUGAACCAGUACCGUGAGGGAAAGGCGAAAAGAACCCCGGCGAGGGGAGUGAAAAAGAACCUGAAACCGUGUACGUACAAGCAGUGGGAGCACAGGUUUACCUGUGUGACUGCGUACCUUUUGUAUAAUGGGUCAGCGACUUAUAUUCUGUAGCAAG